Molecule: small RNA, 562 nt
Filed under: Pan troglodytes (chimpanzee)
Lineage: Eukaryota; Metazoa; Chordata; Mammalia; Primates; Hominidae
Description: retained intron
Source: RNAcentral
ACAAGAAGAGUGAGUUCCUCUCGCCCUGCUCGCCUCCCACUGUCCUGGGCUUUUGAAUGGCUGCCCUUGUGGUUGUGUCUCUUGGUGCCUUGGUCUCCUGGAUCUCUAGUGGCAUGGCCUCCCUCUUACUCAGCUCUCCCUCCCUUUGACCGCUCCUCUUUUCCCACUUCCAUCAGUCCUGCAGUUGGCGGGCCAGCCCUUUGACCACUCCCCUAUCCGCUUCUGUGCCCGCAACGGGGAGUAUGUCACCAUGGACACCAGCUGGGCUGGCUUUGUGCACCCCUGGAGCCGCAAGGUAGCCUUCGUGUUGGGCCGCCACAAAGUACGCACGGCCCCCCUGAAUGAGGACGUGUUCACUCCCCCGGCCCCCAGCCCAGCUCCCUCCCUGGACACUGAUAUCCAGGAGCUAUCAGAGCAGAUCCACCGGCUGCUGCUGCAGCCCGUCCACAGCCCCAGCCCCACAGGACUCUGUGGAGUCGGCCCUGUGACAUCCCCAGGCCCUCUCCACAGCCCUGGGUCCUCCAGUGAUAGCAACGGGGGUGAUGCAGAGGGGCCUGGGCCU